Molecule: non-coding RNA, 481 nt
Organism: Rhinopithecus roxellana (golden snub-nosed monkey)
Lineage: Eukaryota; Metazoa; Chordata; Mammalia; Primates; Cercopithecidae
Source: the annotation of a RefSeq genome assembly
CCACACAUUUCCUUAAAUUCAGGGCCCUGCUCACAUGGGAAAUGCUCUGUGAGAGUCAUGGACAUCCUGUGCAAGAACAUGAAGCACCUGUGGUUCUUCCUCCUCCUGGUGGCAGCUCCCAAAUGGGUCCUGUCCCAGGUGCAGCUGCAGGAGUCGGGCCCAGCAGUGGUGAAGCCUUCGGAGACCCUGUCCCUCACCUGCGCUGUCUCUGGUGGCUCUAUCAGCGAUGGUUACUACUGGAGCUGGAUCCGCCAGCCCCCAGGGAAGGGACUGGAGUGGAUUGGGUAUAUCUAUGGUAGUGGUGGGAGCACCUACUACAACCCGUCCCUCAAGAGUCGAGUCACCAUUUCAACAGACACGUCCAAGAACCAGUUCUCCCUGAAGCUGAGCUCUGUGACCGCCGCGGACACGGCCGUGUAUUACUGUGCGAGAGACACAGUGAGGGGAGCCCAAGAUUCCUGAAGAUAAAGCUGAUGUGAUG